GACGAACGCUGGCGGCGUGCUUAACACAUGCAAGUCGAACGGAAAGGCCCUGCUUUUGUGGGGUGCUCGAGUGGCGAACGGGUGAGUAACACGUGAGUAACCUGCCCUUGACUUUGGGAUAACUUCAGGAAACUGGGGCUAAUACCGGAUAGGAGCUCCUGCUGCAUGGUGGGGGUUGGAACGUUUCGGCGGUUGGGGAUGGACUCGCGGCUUAUCAGCUUGUUGGUGGGGUAGUGGCUUACCAAGGCUUUGACGGGUAGCCGGCCUGAGAGGGUGACCGGCCACAUUGGGACUGAGAUACGGCCCAGACUCCUACGGGAGGCAGCAGUGGGGAAUAUUGCACAAUGGGCGGAAGCCUGAUGCAGCAACGCCGCGUGCGGGAUGACGGCCUUCGGGUUGUAAACCGCUUUCGCCUGUGACGAAGCGUGAGUGACGGUAAUGGGUAAAGAAGCACCGGCUAACUACGUG
Molecule: ribosomal RNA, 468 nt
Filed under: uncultured bacterium
Lineage: Bacteria
Description: partial 16S ribosomal RNA
Rfam family: Bacterial small subunit ribosomal RNA
Source: RNAcentral